GCAGCAUGGUCUUAGCUUGCUAAGGCCGAUGGCGACCGGCGCACGGGUGAGUAACACGUAUCCAACCUGCCGUCUACUCUUGGACAGCCUUCUGAAAGGAAGAUUAAUACAAGAUGGCAUCAUGAGUCCACAUGUUCACAUGAUUAAAGGUAUUCCGGUAGACGAUGGGGAUGCGUUCCAUUAGAUAGUAGGCGGGGUAACGGCCCACCUAGUCUUCGAUGGAUAGGGGUUCUGAGAGGAAGGUCCCCCACAUUGGAACUGAGACACGGUCCAAACUCCUACGGGAGGCAGCAGUGAGGAAUAUUGGUCAAUGGGCGAGAGCCUGAACCAGCCAAGUAGCGUGAAGGAUGACUGCCCUAUGGGUUGUAAACUUCUUUUAUAAAGGAAUAAAGUCGGGUAUGCAUACCCGUUUGCAUGUACUUUAUGAAUAAGGAUCGGCUAACUCCGUGCCAGCAGCCGCGGUAAUACGGAGGAUCCGAGCGUUAUCCGGAUUUAUUGGGUUUAAAGGGAGCGUAGAUGGAUGUUUAAGUCAGUUGUGAAAGUUUGCGGCUCAACCGUAAAAUUGCAGUUGAUACUGGAUAUCUUGAGUGCAGUUGAGGCAGGCGGAAUUCGUGGUGUAGCGGUGAAAUGCUUAGAUAUCACGAAGAACUCCGAUUGCGAAGGCAGCCUGCUAAG
Molecule: ribosomal RNA, 675 nt
Filed under: uncultured Bacteroidales bacterium
Lineage: Bacteria; Pseudomonadati; Bacteroidota; Bacteroidia; Bacteroidales
Description: bacterial SSU rRNA
Rfam family: Bacterial small subunit ribosomal RNA
Source: RNAcentral